CCUCCUUUUCCUUAUACAUUACCCAGUUUCAGGUAUGUCUUUAUCAGCAGCCUGAAAACAGACUAAUACACCUCCCCACAGCUGACUUAGUGCUCUGCCAGUGGGUUACAGUUUUCCAGAAGGAGCUGCAGUCAAGGACUCAGGCCGCCUAGGGCAGCCACCCAUUCCUCACCCAAACACCUCCAUUCAAGGCCUCCUUAUCUUAUGACCAAGAUACUUUCAUCCACUCUGACCCAGUACUUUUCUAGUCCUAGACUUCCCCUACUCCCUUCUGUCAGUCCCCUGGACCAUAAAAUGUCAGGAGUCAUUUGUUCAGGGCUCUUUGGUAGUGAGAUGAUUUUCCCUGUCUGAGCUGAUUCAUCUGACCCUUGCCUACUGCCAUUCCCUGGGGAAAAAAUGGAAUGUUAGGAAGCUGGUGCUUAUUUUUGCCUCUUGUUUACACUAUUUCUGUAAGUGAUUAAGGCUUGAUUGUUAACUUUCAGUUUGGCUUAUUGUUCUGACUGACCACCUAAUCCUGGCCACUGGACAGAAAUUAAGAGCAAAGAAAGUGAUAACCGUUUUAAACAAACAUAGAAUAAAUAAAAACCACAAUAAUAAGGUGGUAUUUGAAAAGAAAACAAGAUGGAAAGAAUAUAUUUCACUGGAAUAGCAUGUGAAUAAGACGUGAAGUUACUGGAAUUAGUGUUCUAAGGUCCUUUUGAAACUGCCUUUGCAAAAUUAUAACAGUAAGAAAAAUCUGACCUAGUUGACUCCAUCUUACUUCUAACCCCAAGCUGUCCUUGGUCAUUCCUGGACAUAGGCCAAGAUAACUUUGAGAGGAAUUUAGUUUACAGUUUAACUUAGAAGCAAGAAUGAUAAUAGUCCCUCCCUGAAACUAACCCUCUCCCUGUUCAAUGGCUGAAACUGCCUUUGUAAGACUAAUGAAAGGCCACAAGAUUAGGAUUAUGGGAGAGGCCCAAGUUCUGCUAAAAUGUAGGCAUAGUUUCUAUAAUUUCUUACUGCUCAGGAGUCAUGUGGCCAGAGGUCCCAAGAUUUAUAACUUCCCCAAUUGCUUCUAUAGGUAUCACUGUUGUAGAACCUAAGACUGGGGAGUUUUUUUUUUUUUAGAUGUUUUUCAGACUGAUCCCAUCUGGACUCAUGACUCAGCUGGUCCUGUGGCUCUGCCCACAGGUGGCCUCACUGCACAAGGACAGUCUUCCAGUGAUGUGAUGGCAUUCCCAACCAAUCAGCUGCACCCAUUCCCUAGUCCCCUGCCCACAAAACUGUCCAUAAAAACCCUAACCUCUGACCCUUCAGGGAGACUGAUUUGAGUGAUAACUCCAGUUCUUCUGCAUAGCUGGCCUCAUGUCAGUUAAACUCUUUCUUUACUGCAAUGCCAUGGUCUCAGGCAAUUGAUUUUGUCUGUGCAGUGGGCAGAAAGAAUAAAUUUAGGAGCUCAUAUGGGAUCCACCCUUGUGGGUGCCUGCUUGCAGUUCAUUGGUUCCCCACAGGUCCGACUGACCUGGAGGUGAGCUCUGACGGCCACUUAUUUCUCCAGAACUGAGGGUCUCUGCUGAUGUCCCUCUGCAGCUGUCCUGCCAGUGAGGCACUGUUGACCCAUCGUGCCUGGGCCUAACUGUCAUGUAGAAAUAGUUUCUGGAAGUCAUCUUUAAACUGGUCUGGGGAGUUCCCUUACACAAGCUCUCUCGCCUGCCGCCACGCAAGACAUGACUCUUUGCUCCUCAUUCGCCUUCAGCCAUGAUUGUGAGGCCUUCCCAGCCAUGUGAAACUCUCGGGAGCCCUCUUGUCUGGAAAGGCUCUUCCCUGCUGGUGCCUCCAGGCUGGGCUGGUUGUUGCUCCUCUAUGCUCCCGAGGUCCUCA
RNAcentral lists this long non-coding RNA (1860 nucleotides) under Homo sapiens (human). RNAcentral's name for it is "HSALNT0348591". The record is from RNAcentral. Lineage: Eukaryota; Metazoa; Chordata; Mammalia; Primates; Hominidae.